Long non-coding RNA from Zingiber officinale, 522 nucleotides. RefSeq lists it as uncharacterized. The transcript is spliced from 3 exons. Lineage: Eukaryota; Viridiplantae; Streptophyta; Magnoliopsida; Zingiberales; Zingiberaceae. The record is from RefSeq and is a predicted model, not a curated record.
UUUCCCGAACCCGAAAGUUUCUUUCUCCCCUUUCCUCGCGACGCCGCUGUUCUUCGAGCGAUUCUUCUCGGGCGGAACGAGGCGACGGUGUUAGGUCUUUUCUCCUGCGCCGACGAAGGCUUCUUACGACCGACCUUCACCCUUGUGUGGUCACCGCGACGAAGGGAGCUCGGGAACUCAUGAAGAAGAGUCGAGAUCCCAAGCUUCUCCCGAAGCCCUAGCUGCCCUCUUCGGUUGUAAGUCCAAGAACAGCGAAAUAAAGGAAAGGAAAAGAUUUAGCAAGGAAGGCGACAAGGUGGUGGUGAUGAAGGAAAAAGAAGACUUGAUGGGGAUGAAAGCUUUUGUGGAGUAAGAAGAUAACUUGAUGUAUCUUAGUUUCUUUAACAUCUUGGAUUGAUGGACUUGUAUGGAAACUUGUUGGAGUGUUGAACUUGUGAAAUAUUUUUAAGUAGCUUAAAGAACAAAUUAUGAUAUUGUAUGACUUGUUGAGUUUGAAUGAAUAGAUGUAUGUGAAUUAAUUAA